RNAcentral lists this ribosomal RNA (852 nucleotides) under uncultured Chloroflexales bacterium. RNAcentral's name for it is "bacterial SSU rRNA". It matches the Rfam family "Bacterial small subunit ribosomal RNA", at positions 392 to 1274 of the family's 1533-position model. The record is from RNAcentral. Lineage: Bacteria; Bacillati; Chloroflexota; Chloroflexia; Chloroflexales.
CAACGCCGCGUGGGUGAAGAAGGUCUUCGGAUUGUAAAGCCCUUUUCUGGAGGAAGAGUAAGGACGGUACUUCAGGAAUAAGUCUCGGYUAACUACGUGCCAGCAGCCGCGGUAAAACGUAGGAGGCGAGCGUUAUCCGGAUUUACUGGGCGUAAAGAGCGUGUAGGCGGAGCCUUAAGUCGGAUGUGAAAGCUCCUGGCUUAACUAGGAGAGGUCAUUCGAUACUGGGGCCCUUGAGAGCAGGAGGGGAGAGUGGAAUUCCCGGUGUAGUGGUGGAAUGCGCAGAUAUCGGGAGGAACGUCAGUGGCGAAGGCGACUCUCUGGCCUGUUUCUGACGCUGAGACGCGAAAGCGUGGGUAGCGAACGGGAUUAGAUACCCCGGUAGUCCACGCCCUAAACGUUGCGGACUAGGCGUAGGUGGCAUUGACCCCAUCUGUGCCGUAGCUAACGCGAUAAGUCCGCCGCCUGGGGGCUACGGCCGCAAGGCUAAAACUCAAAGGAAUUGACGGGGACCCGCACAAGCAGCGGAGCGUGUGGUUUAAUUCGAUGCAACACGAAGAACCUUACCUGGGCUUGACAUGUAUGUAGUAGUGAAGCGAAAGUGGAACGACCCUUCGGGGAGCAUACACAGGUGCUGCAUGGCUGUCGUCAGCUCGUGCCGUGAGGUGUUCGGUUAAGUCCGGUAACGAGCGCAACCCUUGCUGUUAGUUAUAUGUGUMUAACGGGACUGCCGGUUUAAGCUGGAGGAAGGUGGGGAUGACGUCAAGUCAGCAUGGCCUUUAUGUCCAGGGCUACACACACGCUACAAUGGCCGGUACAACGGGUAGCUAACCCGUGAGGCGGAGCCAAUCC